This 3209-nucleotide unclassified non-coding RNA is filed under the name Hevea brasiliensis (rubber tree). Lineage: Eukaryota; Viridiplantae; Streptophyta; Magnoliopsida; Malpighiales; Euphorbiaceae. The record is from RNAcentral.
UGCAGAAUAGAGAUAAAAAAAAAAUUGCUAUCCUGAAGCUUUCUCUGCACAUUCAUUUCUCCAUAUCUCUUAAAUAUCUCAACAUCCCAGAGCUGCUUGAGCAUGCAUCUCUGGGACCCUCUUUUCUUUUCAUUCGAUGGAAAUAUUUAUAGAGAUGCUUCAAUGGAUGGUAAUGUCCUGAUGGUGUUAUUCUGCUGUGCAGUAUGAUAUGAAGCUAUUAGCUGUUGACAUUCCCAUGGCAUCGGGACCUGACCAGAGAUUGUUUCUGAUUGGAGAUGAGGAUGAGUAUAAGGUUGGCGGUGGACUAAUAUCUGAGCUGAGAGAUCCUGUUGUGAAAGCAAUGGCAGCCAGCAAGGAAUUUGAUGAUCUUGACCAAAUUGAGGAAGAGGAGGAUGCCGCAAGAGAACUUCAGGAGGCAGAAAGAAAGCACCGUGAGGAAAUUGAAAAACUUGAAAGAGAUGGUUCGUAGUACUCGUUUUUACUCAAACUUUCCCUCCAUUCUUUUACGUUUUUAUUUUUUCGUGGAUAUUUUUUGGAUAGAUGCCUGAAGCUUGAUGCAGGCGGGUCUUUUCAUUUGUAUCCGAAUUUAAUUCUCCACAGCUUUUUCCUUUAAGCUGCUAAAGAGCAUGUUCAAAAAUCUCAAAAGUUAAAAGUUGAGAAGAUCUAAUCAAGACAAUAAGGUGUACAACUGGGGUACUGUGCUUCACUAGAAGUGCAAUUUUCCUGAUUUGGAUUGCUUGCCUUUAUUUUAGGUUCGCUUUCUUUUCUUUUUGAAGUCUGAGAAAUUUUUGUAGCAGCAACUUCUACGAUGACAUGCUUUAGUUCCUCUGGGUACUUCUUACCAGAUGGAUGGACGCCUGUAUUCAUUUCUUUUUCAUGGAAGAGUGCUAAAAUGAGGAGUCCUAGUAGCCCUUUUCUUUAUUUCCUUGUCACAAUCAUUCAACUUAUAGCUGUUGUUUUCAUCUUGUAUGUUUACAUCAUGCACGGCGUACAUUCCUGUUAAAUGAGCAAUUGAAGUCAUAUUUGCUCCUUGACAAAAUGGCAUUGGACCAUCUUUUGGUAUGACUGGAUAUGUGCAGGUUGGCUGCCAUUCAUGCGGUGGGGAUCAUCUUUGAUGUUAAAUGGGAGGAAAUUUGGGAGUAUUGCCAAUGCAUGACCCCGACAGAGAGUGAUGUGAUAACACCUGAAGCCUAACUACGUCACAUGGUUAAGCAUAUAAAAGCAUUCCUGCAUCAAAUGCUGGCAACUGCUAGUGACCUGGCCUUGUUUGUGAAAAAGAGUUCUUACGUAACAAAAAAAAUUAAAUUUCUCUCCUAUAGGAGAUUGAGAAUGGAGAUCUUGCAUUUAAGAUUGUAGCCUUGCAGGAACCCUGACAGUCGACGAAAAUAGCAUCAUAUCAAGGUUGGCGAGAUCAUGCCUUGAUGCAAAUAGCCAACCGCCGCGGACCCACCUUUACCCCUUGUUUGUAUAUACUUCUUGUUUGUUUGUGAAAAUUAUUUCUGAAAAAUGGUGAUUUUAGGUAACUAUUAUUUGUCGCAGAUUUUUAAAUCACAAAAUCGGUGGUUUAAAAUUUUUGUAUUCCCAUUUUACACAAUAUUUAUUUAUAUAUUUAAAAAAAUAAUAAGGGUAUUUUAGUAACUUCAUAUUUAUUUUACCAGACCAACAAAAAAGAUUAUUAAACUAUUCUAUACCAUACCAUUUUUUCAAACAUGUUAACAAUAAAAACCAUACCAUAAAAUAUAAAAGAUGAUACAUUAAUAAACUAUGAAACGCUCAAUUCAAAUAGGGGGUAAAACUUUAUUCCUAAUUAUUCCAAUUUAGACUAGGAUCAUAAACAUUAUAAAUAGCCAUGUAGUAUUAUUUUCUACAGAUUUUUGUUAAACUUAUCAGAUUAUUCUUUCAAUAAAGCUAGGCUUGCUUUAUUUUAUUUCUUGGAUUCUAGGUUGAAUCUGGUUUAUUUCAAGGUAUUGUAUUAGAUCUGGUUUGUUUUAAGGGUUUGAUUGUGUAUUGACCUUAGCGAUUAUAGACUUUGAACUCACAUACAGCAGCCAGCAAAGAUCCCAUUUCAACAAGGGCCAAAAAUUGUAUUAGAUAAAGCAUGUCAAUCCAGAGAAAGUUUUGCAUUCAGGACAUCUACAGUUAUAUAAAUAUUCAAUUGUGCACAUAUUUGAUGGAAUAAAACUGCACAUCAAUUAGCUUACUCUCUCGAAGUUCAUCAGCUCCUUUGCAACUCCGAAAAUCCACUGUUUGAAGCACCUUCAGGAACAAAGAUUCACAGAAGCAAUUUAGCCCAUUUAGCCUUAAUAUAAACACACAAGGCAAGAUAGAAGAUUGAGGCACUAAAAAUUAUGGAGGGACACUCUUACCAAGUGUCACUACAAGUUUCCAAACUGUGAAAUAGAACAUUGUUGCCUACCUUACCAUUUUAUAAUCCAUCACAGAUGCCGAGUUCAAAAUGUAGAAAAAUUGAAAGAAAUUGGGACUGAAAUCUUUUUUUGAACUGAAAUCUGAUCGUGCAAGAUAAUAAAGUACCUCAGGUCAUGGGCAUAUUCAACUAAAAAUUGCUCUAAAAGGGGCUUGAGGAUUUGCAAUUGGUAACAAGUAUAUUGCAAGAUCAUAAAUUUGCAAGCCCACAGAGGGAUCAACAGCUCUGGAGAAGACCAAAAUGAUCACAAACAAAAUAAAUUCUGAAAUGGAAACUAAGACCACGCCUAUGAAACAAAUCACCAUUAAAAUGAAACAACAAAUUCAGAUGAAUUGAACCUCAAAUUCCUGGAAUGAAUUCAUGCUAAGUAAAAAAACAAAAAGGCAAAAUUGAACACAAUCAUAAAUGCUGAUCAAAUAGUCAAAAUUGAAAAUGUAUUGUUAAGUUUACCUGGAGUAAAUGGGGACGAAUAUCUUUGAGAACAGCACGCAUCUUGAAGUAGCUGCAGUCUUGGAUUUGGACAUAACCUUCAAAUUCAAGCGGUCUUUUCUUGUCUUUGGGAGGGAGACAAGCAGUUACUGGAGGAGGAGGUGGUGGUGUUGAUGCUGCAGCCGCUGUCACCGGUGGUGCUGCAGCUGCUGUCGCCGGUGGUGCUGGCGGUGGUGGUGUAUGUGAAGGGGGAGCUGGGUCUGUGUCUACUGGGUUUGAGUCUAGGUUCGGGUCUUGGGUUGGUGGAUCCUGGGCUGAUAUUGCUUCUUCCAUGACAGUGUUAUGUCUUAAUUGG